This 92-nucleotide transfer RNA is filed under the name Streptomyces sp. AcH 505. RNAcentral's name for it is "tRNA-Ser". It matches the Rfam family "tRNA". From Rfam's summary of the family: Transfer RNA (tRNA) molecules are approximately 80 nucleotides in length. Their secondary structure includes four short double-helical elements and three loops (D, anti-codon, and T loops). The record is from RNAcentral. Lineage: Bacteria; Bacillati; Actinomycetota; Actinomycetes; Kitasatosporales; Streptomycetaceae.
GGAGGAUUGGCCGAGUGGUAAGGCAGCGGCUUGCUAAGCCGUCGUCGGGGCGUACGACCCCCGCGCGCGUUCGAUCCGCGCAUCCUCCGCCC